GACGAACGCUGGCGGCGUGCUUAACACAUGCAAGUCGAACGGAAAGGCCCUGCUUUUGUGGGGUGCUCGAGUGGCGAACGGGUGAGUAACACGUGAGUAACCUGCCCUUGACUUUGGGAUAACUUCAGGAAACUGGGGCUAAUACCGGAUAGGAGCUCCUGCUGCAUGGUGGGGGUUGGAAAGUUUCGGCGGUUAGGGAUGGACUCGCGGCUUAUCAGCUUGUUGGUGGGGUAGUGGCUUACCAAGGCUUUGACGGGUAGCCGGCCUGAGAGGGUGACCCGCCACAUUGGGACUGAGAUACGGCCCAGACUCCUACGGGGGGCAGCAGUGGGGAAUAUUGCACAAUGGGCGGAAGCCUGAUGCAGCAACGCCGCGUGCGGGAUGACGGCCUUCGGGUUGUAAACCGCUUUCGCCUGUGACGAAGCGUGAGUGACGGUAAUGGGUAAAGAAGCACCGGCUAACUACGUG
Molecule: ribosomal RNA, 468 nt
Filed under: uncultured bacterium
Lineage: Bacteria
Description: partial 16S ribosomal RNA
Rfam family: Bacterial small subunit ribosomal RNA
Source: RNAcentral